CCUCUGUGCGUCCCCGCCACCCCCAACAGGAAACCGAGGCCAGGAUGGAUGGAGUCUUGCUCCACUGAGCAGGAAGCCACAUCCUGUGGAGGCUGGAGACUUUUGCUUGAAAAACAGGUCCCUGCCCCGGCGCCCGCCCGCCUGCAGCCGAGAGGGGAGCUUCCAGACGGGGGUGAGGCCCCCGCACCCACUUCAGCCGCCUGAGCCUGGCUCUGUGUCUGGUGAACUGGCCAUCCUUCCUUCUCCCCAGCAGGCGAGCCAUGAAGAACGGGCCCCGCAGGGCCGGCCUGCAGCCUCAGCCGAGUGCGUCCACAGCCAUUAGCGGGAGGCCCCAGCCUGGCUGAUCAGGGCCAACGCACAGCCCACCCCUCACUCUGCUCCCGGGGGGGCUGCCCGGCAAAGCUCCACCCUUGGGGAGAGAACAGGAGCUGAGAAGGAAACGGAGGUUCCAGGGCCAGCAUGGACGUUUGUGUAGGUUGUUCACUGCACAAUGGGGCUGCUCAGGGGGCAUGUGGAGCUGCAGUUCAGCCAGCCCUCACUCGCCGGGCGGAGGGCCCUGGCACCAGCUGCGUCCGCACAGGACAUGGUGCCUGCUCCUGAUCCAUUUGAAGGAGCUCCAGGGGAGGGCUGGGCCUGCCUUGGUCUUGGGAAGACGCCACCUGAGAACUCGAGGCCCUACCUCGUCCCUUUUCUUAAUUGCGUUUUUACUGACUUCUUUUUGGAGCACAUACGUAUGUAUUUUAUCACAUGGGUGCAUUUGUGUAGCCACUGCCACAAGCAGGAUACACAACAGUUCCAUCACCCCAAAACUCCCUGGUGCUGUCCUUUUGUCAGCACGUCCCCCCUCUUUCCUGACCCCUGGCAGCCCCUGGUCUGUUCUCCGCGGCCGCAGUUUUCCCUGUAGACGGUGGAAGCAGACAGUCCGGGCUGAGAUGGGCCUCUCCUACGCAGCGUCCGGGCCCGAGACCCACCCGGGUUGUUGUCUGUAUCAGUGGUUUGUGCCUUUUUGGUGCUGAAUAGCAGCACGUGGUGUGGACGCCCCAGUGUGUUUGUCCACCCACCCACUGAUGGGUGUCCGAGCUGUUUCCAGUCCCGGGCUGUCACCGAUCCAGCCACUGUGGACAUUCAUGCCUCUGUGUCCAUGAACACACACGUCUGUGCACGGAGCUGUGUUUCCUGGCUCUGGGAUCGAUGCCUGGCGGCAGACAGCUGCCACAUGGCAAGAGUUUGACUAACUUUCUAAGAACUUGCCAAGCGGUUUUCCAGAGCAGCUGUGCCAUUCUGCACCUUCGUCCUUGGUGUCUGAGUUCUGGUUGCUCUGUGUGCUUGUCAGCACUUGCUAUUGUCAGGAUUUAAUAUUUUAGCCACUGAGUGGCGUGGAGUGGUGUCUCGUCACGGUUUUGAUUUUCACAUCCUGGUGGCUAAGAAUGUUGAGCAUCUUUUCAUGCCCCUAUUUGUUAUCUGUGUAUCUUCUCCGAUAAAGUGUCUGUACAAGUCCUUUGCCCAUUUUUAAACUGGGCUUUCUUUUAGCUGUCGCGUUUUCAGAGUUCUUUAUACCUUCUGGAUACAAGUCCUUUGUCAGAUGUGGAAUUUGCAAAUAUUUUCUCACGACCUAUGGCCUGUCUUUCCAUUCCCUGAACAGUUUCUUUCACAAAGCAAAAGUUCUUAAUUUUGAAGAAGUAAAAUUAAUCUUUUAUGGA
Long non-coding RNA from Equus caballus (horse), 1700 nucleotides. RefSeq lists it as uncharacterized. Lineage: Eukaryota; Metazoa; Chordata; Mammalia; Perissodactyla; Equidae. The record is from RefSeq and is a predicted model, not a curated record.